UACGUAGGGGGCAAGCGUUGUCCGGAAUUAUUGGGCGUAAAGAGCGUGUAGGCGGUCCGGUAAGUCAGCUGUGAAAGUCAAGGGCUCAACCCUUGAAAGCCGGUUGAUACUGUCGGGCUAGAGUCCGGAAGAGGCGAGUGGAAUUCCCGGUGUAGCGGUGAAAUGCGCAGAUAUCAGGAGGAACACCGAUUGCGAAGGCAGCUCGCUGGGACGUAACUGACGCUGAGACGCGAAAGCGUGGGGAGCAAACAGG
This 253-nucleotide ribosomal RNA is filed under the name uncultured bacterium. RNAcentral's name for it is "partial 16S ribosomal RNA". It matches the Rfam family "Bacterial small subunit ribosomal RNA", at positions 524 to 776 of the family's 1533-position model. The record is from RNAcentral.